CCCCUUGCUUGCGAGUUACUUGGUAAUUAGGAUGUGUAGGGUAGCUUCAGAAACCCUAGGUGGUGAAGAUGAAGAGGAAAGCGACGCUGAUGAUGAAACUGAGGGUUUUCAUAAAUCGAAUUUGUGAUUCACCAGAGUAUCUAUGAGGUCGCAUGCAUGUGGAGAUCAAUUGGAACAACCGUGUGCGUUCCGGAAAUAUAAGAGCUCAUCAUCACCUCCUUUUUAACUACAAGCUUCAUCAUGUCAAAAAUACAAGUGCAGACAAGCUUACUCCUUGGACAUGCGGCGCCCCAGUAGAAAACCAAAGGUUUUUCUUUUUGUCCCAAUCAAGUUGGUGUUGUUAGAGGCUGGCUUCCAAUAUGUUGGGACUGCUAAGAGUAUUUGUCCUUAAUUAUAUUGAAAAGUUAAGGGAUACAGUAUGAGUAUAAGGAGUUGGGCUACUACUCCUCAUUACUAAUUGGUUUUAGAGUGGAACCUCAACUCAACUUCCUUCAUGGUAUCAGAGCAAAAACGAUAAUCAACCCCUUUUUUGUCAAUAAAUUCUAUGAGUGUAAUUCGACAUUAUACUAAUUUUCAUAUGUCAUGACAAAUUUGGAUUAAUAUAUGACUAAGUUGGCAGAAGAGGGAUGCCUAUUUGUCUUGUUAAAGUAAUCUUAA
Non-coding RNA from Prunus avium (sweet cherry), 657 nucleotides. The record is from RefSeq and is a predicted model, not a curated record. Lineage: Eukaryota; Viridiplantae; Streptophyta; Magnoliopsida; Rosales; Rosaceae.